AAGAUGGCGACCGGCGCACGGGUGAGUAACACGUAUCCAACCUGCCGAUAACUCUGGAAUAGCCUUUCGAAAGAAAGAUUAAUACCGGAUAGCAUACGAAUAUCGCAUGAUAUUUUUAUUUAAAGAAUUUCGGUUAUCGAUGGGGAUGCGUUCCAUUAGUUUGUUGGCGGGGUAACGGCCCACCAAGACUACGAUGGAUAGGGGUUCUGAGAGGAAGGUCCCCCACAUUGGGACUGAGACACGGCCCAGACUCCUACGGGAGGCAGCAUG
This 270-nucleotide ribosomal RNA is filed under the name uncultured bacterium. Its description in RNAcentral is "partial 16S ribosomal RNA". It matches the Rfam family "Bacterial small subunit ribosomal RNA", at positions 85 to 353 of the family's 1533-position model. The record is from RNAcentral.